GUCUCAGUCCCCUCCUCUGAUCCUCUCCUAAUUUAACAUUCCCUGCCUUUUGUAGAAAAUAAUAGAAGAACAAAAGAAAGAAAACAUUUUCGUUUUUAUCAAACUUGCCACCAUAGAAUUACGACUGCACCUUCAUUCAUCGUUCGAUCACGCUAUUUUUUGGAAAGCAUGAUCACAACAGAUGAUUCUUCAUUUUCAAUGGUCCAAUCAUCAAAAUGAUGUCUGAAGCAAGAGAAAUCGUGUCUGCAUCAUAGCUAUGAGUUGAGGCUUAGAGUUGUGGCGACUUAGGAAUGAAAGCACACAAGGUACGAAGGAAUGAAAUAUGAAGUUGUUUUGUGAUGGAAGCGUACU
This 351-nucleotide long non-coding RNA is filed under the name Medicago truncatula (barrel medic). RNAcentral's name for it is "lncRNA gene25945". Lineage: Eukaryota; Viridiplantae; Streptophyta; Magnoliopsida; Fabales; Fabaceae. The record is from RNAcentral.